RNAcentral lists this long non-coding RNA (201 nucleotides) under Sarcophilus harrisii (Tasmanian devil). RNAcentral's name for it is "lncRNA (ENSSHAG00000026904.1)". Lineage: Eukaryota; Metazoa; Chordata; Mammalia; Dasyuromorphia; Dasyuridae. The record is from RNAcentral.
AUUGUCUACUGGGAGGGAAUGAACCUCUGACAUUUCCUUUUUGUCUCUAGGAGUCAUGAAGGUCUCCACUAGUCGUAGAAGGUUUGGUGACAUAUCUGGCCCAGCAGGUAGAGUAUAUUCCUGAGGAGAGUUCUGCAGACAAAUAAUAGAAAGACAUAAUGAACGUUUCAGAGAUUUUCCUGAAUAUAUAAAAGAUUCCCC